Volvox carteri f. nagariensis is the source of this 133-nucleotide small nuclear RNA. It matches the Rfam family "U4 spliceosomal RNA". Rfam says of the family: U4 small nuclear RNA (U4 snRNA) is a component of the major U2-dependent spliceosome. NCBI's taxonomy places the organism in Eukaryota, Viridiplantae, Chlorophyta, Chlorophyceae, Chlamydomonadales, Volvocaceae. The record is from Rfam.
AUCUUUGCGCUUGGGGCAAUGUCGCAGCCUAUGAGAUCUAAUCGAGGCGCGACUAUUGCUGGUUGAAAACUUAUUCCUUCCCCGUCGGUCGUGUCCUUCGGGACCUUCCGCAAUAUUUGGCGUCCCCUUGGGG